Molecule: ribosomal RNA, 488 nt
Filed under: uncultured bacterium
Lineage: Bacteria
Description: partial 16S ribosomal RNA
Rfam family: Bacterial small subunit ribosomal RNA
Source: RNAcentral
GAUGAACGCUAGCGGCAGGCUUAACACAUGCAAGUCGAGGGGCAGCAUAAUGGAUAGCAAUAUCUAUGGUGGCGACCGGCGCACGGGUGCGUAACGCGUAUGCAACCUACCUUUAACAGGGGGAUAACACUGAGAAAUUGGUACUAAUACCCCAUAAUAUCAUAGACGGCAUCUUUUAUGGUUGAAAAUUCCGAUGGUUAGAGAUGGGCAUGCGUUGUAUUAGCUAGUUGGUGGGGUAACGGCUCACCAAGGCGACGAUACAUAGGGGGACUGAGAGGUUAACCCCCCACACUGGUACUGAGACACGGACCAGACUCCUACGGGAUGCAGCAGUGAGGAAUAUUGGUCAAUGGACGCAAGUCUGAACCAGCCAUGCCGCGUGCAGGAUGACGGCUCUAUGAGUUGUAAACUGCUUUUGUACGAGGGUAAACGCAGAUACGUGUAUCUGUCUGAAAGUAUCGUACGAAUAAGGAUCGGCUAACUCCGUG